GAGGGGAUAGCUCAGUGGUAGAGCACAUGAUGAGGUCCUGGGUUCAAUCCCCAGUACCUCCA
Molecule: transfer RNA, 62 nt
Filed under: Camelus bactrianus (Bactrian camel)
Lineage: Eukaryota; Metazoa; Chordata; Mammalia; Artiodactyla; Camelidae
Also listed under: 2 other names
Rfam family: tRNA
About the family: Transfer RNA (tRNA) molecules are approximately 80 nucleotides in length.
Source: Rfam by way of RNAcentral